This 976-nucleotide ribosomal RNA is filed under the name uncultured bacterium. RNAcentral's name for it is "bacterial SSU rRNA". It matches the Rfam family "Bacterial small subunit ribosomal RNA", at positions 47 to 1032 of the family's 1533-position model. The record is from RNAcentral.
CGCUAUGCAUGCAAGUCGAACGGGCAAAGGGGCUUCGGCCCCGGAGCUAGUGGCAGACGGCUGAGUAACACGUAAGUGAUCUGCCCCGGAGCGGGGGAUAAUCCGGAGAAAUCCGGUCUAAUACCCCGUACGUUCAUAUGGUCAAGGCUAUAUGAAGAAAGGUUUCGACCGCUCUGGGAGGAGCUUGCGGCCUAUCAGGUAGUUGGCGGGGUAAUGGCCCACCAAGCCGAAGACGGGUAACCGAUGUGAGAGCAUGAUCGGUCAGAGGGGGACUGAGACACGGCCCCCACUCCUACGGGAGGCAGCAGCAGGGAAUCUUGCGCAAUGGGCGAAAGCCUGACGCAGCGACACCGCGUGGGGGAUGAAGGCUUUCGAGUUGUAAACCCCUUUUCCCGGGGAUGAGAAAGGACAGUACCCGGGGAAUAAGCAUCGGCUAACUACGUGCCAGCAGCCGCGGUAAUACGUAGGAUGCAAGCGUUGUCCGGAUUUACUGGGCGUAAAGGGUGUGUAGGCGGCAUGUUAAGUCUCAUGUGAAAUCUCCCGGCUCAACUGGGAGCGGUCAUGGGAAACUGGCAAGCUUGAGUACAGCAGAGGGGAGUGGAAUUCCCGGAGUAGUGGUGGAAUGCGUAGAUACCGGGAGGAACACCAGAGGCGAAGGCGACUCCCUGGGCUGUGUCUGACGCUGAGGCGCGAAAGCGUGGGUAGCAAACCGGAUUAGAUACCCGGGUAGUCCACGCCCUAAACGAUGGAUACUAGGUAUGGGGGGUAUCGACCCCCUCCGUGCCGUAGCUAACGCAUUAAGCACUCCGCCUGGGGAGUACGGCCGCAGGGCUAAAACUCAAAGGAAUUGACGGGGGCCCGCACAAGCAGCGGAGCGUGUGUUUCAAUUCGAUGCAAAGCGAAGAACCUUACCUGGGCUUGACAUGUACGAAGUAGGAACCCGAAAGGGGGACGAUCUGUCAAGUCAGAAACGUAC